GACGAACGCUGGCGGCGUGCCUAAUACAUGCAAGUUGAGCGCUGAAGGUUGGUACUUGUACCAACUGGAUGAGCAGCGAACGGGUGAGUAACGCGUGGGGAAUCUGCCUUUGAGCGGGGGACAACAUUUGGAAACGAAUGCUAAUACCGCAUAAAAACUUUAAACACAAGUUUUAAGUUUGAAAGAUGCAAUUGCAUCACUCAAAGAUGAUCCCGCGUUGUAUUAGCUAGUUGGUGAGGUAAAGGCUCACCAAGGCGAUGAUACAUAGCCGACCUGAGAGGGUGAUCGGCCACAUUGGGACUGAGACACGGCCCAACCUCCUACGGGAGGCAGCAGUAGGGAAUCUUCGGCAAUAGACGAAAGUCUGACCGAGCAACGCCGCGUGAGUGAAGAAGGUUUUCGGAUCGUAAAACUCUGUUGGUAGAGAAGAACGUUGGUGAGAGUGGAAAGCUCAUCAAGUGACGGUAACUACCCAGAAAGGGACGGCUAACUACGUG
Molecule: ribosomal RNA, 497 nt
Filed under: uncultured bacterium
Lineage: Bacteria
Description: partial 16S ribosomal RNA
Rfam family: Bacterial small subunit ribosomal RNA
Source: RNAcentral